GAUGAACGCUGGCGGCGUGUUUUAGGCAUGCAAGUCGAACGGGUUCCGAUAACCGCAAGGAAGUCGGAAUAGUGGCAAACGGGUGCGUAACACCUUGGUAACCUGCCUUAAAGUUCGGGAUAACCCCGCGAAAGCGGGACUAAUACCGGAUGUCAUCAUUUACCAUAUGGUGAAUGAGAAAAGCCGAAAGGCACUUUAAGAGGGGCCUAGGUUCCAUCAGCUAGUUGGUAGGGUAAUGGCCUACCAAGGCUACGACGGAUAGGGGGCGUGAGAGCGCGACCCCCCUCACUGGGACUGAGACACUGCCCAGACUCCUACGGGAGGCUGCAGUCAAGAAUAUUCCCCAAUGGACGAAAGUCUGAGGGAGCGACGCCGCGUGUAGGAAGAAGCCCUUCGGGGUGUAAACUACUUUUCUAUGGGAAGAAUUUUGACGGUACUAUAGGAAUAAGGGGUUGCUAACUCUGUGCCAGCAGCCGCGGUAA
This 482-nucleotide ribosomal RNA is filed under the name uncultured bacterium IAFESC7. RNAcentral describes it as "bacterial SSU rRNA". It matches the Rfam family "Bacterial small subunit ribosomal RNA", at positions 28 to 523 of the family's 1533-position model. The record is from RNAcentral.